RNAcentral lists this ribosomal RNA (457 nucleotides) under Bithynia goniomphalos. Its description in RNAcentral is "partial large subunit ribosomal RNA". It matches the Rfam family "Bacterial large subunit ribosomal RNA", at positions 1925 to 2604 of the family's 2925-position model. The record is from RNAcentral. Lineage: Eukaryota; Metazoa; Mollusca; Gastropoda; Littorinimorpha; Bithyniidae.
CAACGGCCGCGGUACUCUGACCGUGCAAAGGUAGCAUAAUCAUUUGCCCUAUAAUUAAGGGCUAGUAUGAACGGUCUAACAAGAAUGGAACUGUCUCUUUUAAAAUCCUUAGAAUUUGGUCUUUAGGUGAAGAAACCUAAAUUAUAUUGAUAGACAAGAAGACCCUAUCGAGCUUUAAAACAAUUAGUUAAACAAAUAGAUAACACCAAUUUUAACUAAAAAUUUUGGUUGGGGCGACUAAGGAACAAACAAAGCUUCCUUAAUAAAUUCUACACUAAUAAGUAAUGAUCCAAAAUAUUUGAUUAAUAAAAUUAGUUACCGUAGGGAUAACAGCAUAAUCUUCUUCAAGAGUUCUUAUCGAAAAGAAUGUUUGUGACCUCGAUGUUGGACUAGGAUAUCCAAAAGAUGCAGAAGUCUUUAAAGGUUGGUCUGUUCGACCAAUAAAAUCCUACGUGAU